Molecule: ribosomal RNA, 394 nt
Filed under: uncultured bacterium
Lineage: Bacteria
Description: partial 16S ribosomal RNA
Rfam family: Bacterial small subunit ribosomal RNA
Source: RNAcentral
AUACGGAGGAUCCGAGCGUUAUCCGGAUUUAUUGGGUUUAAAGGGUGCGCAGGCGGGAGAUUAAGUCGGCGGUGAAAAUUUGCAGCUCCACUGUAAAAGGGCCUUCGAAACUGGUUUUCUUGGGUGUAGAUGAAAUAGGCGGAAUUUGUGGUGUAGAGGGGAAAUGCAUAGAUAUCACGAAGAACUCCGAUCGCGAAGGCAGCCUUCCGGCCCGUCAACGACGCUCAUGCUCGAAGGUGCGGGUAUCAAACAGGAUUAGAUACCCUGGUAGUCCGCACAGUAAACGAUGGACACCCGCGGUUUGGCCUAUAUGGCUGAGCCGCCAAGCGAAAGCGUUAAGUGUCCCACCUGGGGAGUACGCCGGCAACGGUGAAACUCAAAUGAAUUGGCGGGG